GACGAACCGAGCGAACGUUGUUCGGAAUCACUGGGCUUAAAGGGCGCGUAGGCGGGCGUUCAAGUCAGGGGUGAAAGCCCCCAGCUCAACUGGGGAAGUGCCUCUGAUACUGGGCGUCUCGAGGGGGAUAGGGGCGUGCGGAACUUCCGGUGGAGCGGUGAAAUGCGUAGAUAUCGGAAGGAACAUCGGUGGCGAAAGCGGCGCGCUGGGUCCCUUCUGACGCUGAGGCGCGAAAGCCAGGGGAGCGAACAGG
RNAcentral lists this ribosomal RNA (253 nucleotides) under uncultured bacterium. RNAcentral's name for it is "partial 16S ribosomal RNA". It matches the Rfam family "Bacterial small subunit ribosomal RNA", at positions 524 to 776 of the family's 1533-position model. The record is from RNAcentral.